This 453-nucleotide unclassified non-coding RNA is filed under the name uncultured Inocybe. RNAcentral's name for it is "sequence contains ITS2". The stretch from base 1 to 154 matches the Rfam family "5.8S ribosomal RNA". The record is from RNAcentral. Lineage: Eukaryota; Fungi; Basidiomycota; Agaricomycetes; Agaricales; Cortinariaceae.
AACUUUUGGCAACUGAUCACUUGGCUCUCGCAUCGAUGAAGAACGCAGCGAAAUGCAAUAAGUAAUGUGAAUUGCAGAAUACAGUGAAUCAUCGAAUCUUUGAACGCACCUUGCGCUCCUUGGUAUUCCGAGGAGCAUGCCUGUUUGAGUGUCAAUUAAAUUCUCAGCCACAACUGAUUCUUGUCUGGUGUGGCUUGGAUGUGGGGGUUGUUUGCUUGCAGGCUUUUCUGAAAUGAAGGUCGGCUCCCCUGAAAUGCAUUAGUUGUAUCUGAGCAGAGAACUUACUACAGGUGUGAUAAUCUAUCUAUGCCUUUUAGUAUGCUACAUCAACAGAUCGCACUGCUUCUAGCAAGUGGAAAACCUCUUUGAGGAGAGGGGGCCACAUUUGAUGAAUCUGACCUCAAAUCAGGUAGGACUACCCGCUGAACUUAAGCAUAUCAAUAAGCGGAGGCU